GGGGAGGGAGGUAUGGAGUGGAUGAGAAUGAUCAACUUCACAAGGAAGAAAAGGGAAAAAAAGAGCCUCAAGGAAGCAGUUUUUAAAAGUGGAGUUCUGAAAGAGCCUGAGUUAAACAAGAUAGUCGGGUUAAUUUCGUAUCUACUUAUAAAAGAAUAUCUGUAAGAUUUGUAUAUAAGCCUCUCACUCUCAUCUGUAUGUGGAAAUGUGCACGUUUGUCAAGGUCACAAUAAAACAGAAAAUUUUUAAAAAGGAGGGAGAGACACAGAGACAGAGACAGAGAGACAGAAACAGAGAGAGAGAGAGAUGCUAGGUUCUGGAUCAGGGAGGAGGGAAGGGAGGGAGAAGGGCAGGCUGGAAGGAGGGCAGGAGGGAGGGGUGGGGCAGCUGAGCCUUAUAGAAUCCAGUAGGAGGCAGUUGCUCUGCAGAUCUCCAGCUAGACAGAACCCUUACCUGUUCUGAGAAGUCAGAAGCCUGCCUGAUAACUCUCCUAGCCCCGACCUUCACCAGGCCAGAAAAUGGAUCAAGGCAACAUGUCUGAAAGAGACAGAAGUGACUUCAAUUUCAAGAGUGGGCAGCCAAGUCAAUUGCCCAAGUCGUCCCAGAGCAAAAGUGAUGAUCCCCAGGCUGUGAAGCAGGAGUUUGUACACAUUAAGCAGAAAGUCGAUGCCCUGCUGGAUCACCUAGAAAACAUCAUGAAAGAACCUGCAAAGUUGCGUGAGAUGAUGAGGGCAAAGGAGAUGGAACAGGAGCUGGGCAGCAGGAUCCCGAAGAAACCCAAGACAAAUGAGGAGACACACGCUGAAAAUAACGGGGCAGUCGGUGGAAACCAGGUUUAGUUGGCGCCAGCCUGGAGGAGGAAGAGGACCCUGAAGAUCCAGGCAGCCAAGACCAACCAGGGCUGUUCUGCCAGGGCCAGCCCCACUCCCUGUGACCCCUGGGCCUUCUCUACCAAGGCCAGCAUGUGCUCCCCACUGUCCUAUGUCUAACAGGUCCCUCAGCUGCCCCUCCUCUGCCUUUCACACUUUCCCACUUCUUGCAAGUCUCCCAGGAGAUAGAGUAAAACCGCAGUAGUUUUGCUUUUUUAACUUUGACGCUUGUAUUCAUUUGAUAAUUAAAAAGUAAAUUGUUCCUUUUGCAGUUUUGUUUUGUUUUGUUUUUUAAAGGGGGGCUGUUGGGGAGGAGGGGAAGGGACACCCUGGAGUAAGUGGGAGUGUCCAUCUUUGAGGACCUGGU
RNAcentral lists this long non-coding RNA (1236 nucleotides) under Phascolarctos cinereus (koala). RNAcentral describes it as "lncRNA (ENSPCIG00000030618.1)". The record is from RNAcentral. Lineage: Eukaryota; Metazoa; Chordata; Mammalia; Diprotodontia; Phascolarctidae.